Molecule: long non-coding RNA, 2347 nt
Filed under: Nicotiana benthamiana
Lineage: Eukaryota; Viridiplantae; Streptophyta; Magnoliopsida; Solanales; Solanaceae
Description: long non-coding RNA (NBEN_LNC032057)
Source: RNAcentral
GAAAACAAAAAGCUGAAGGCUGCUCAUUUGUGCCAAUAAAGGCAUCAGAAUUGCCUUGAAUACGGAUCUUCUUUUUCAGCCAAAAAUGCCCUCCAGAAUCCUACUUCAAGUCCAAAUAUGAAAGUUACAAUUGGAAUUCAAAAUCCCGUUUAGAUCUCAGUCUUUUUUAGAAGAAAAAUCAUAAAAGAAAUAAAAAAAUAUAGAAAACUGAAAACUCAAAAAAAACUUUACUGUUCCAUUAAAAUUGGAAGUUGAUUUCAAUUUCUGGUUACUGAUUAACCUUCUGCAAUUGUUACUUCUGUCGAUUGAAGGUACAGAAUCAUUUCGAGAUGAAAUUAGUGUUCUAAAUCAGGUUUGAGUGUUUUUUUCUGGUUGUCUCUGCAUUGACAUUCAUUUUUAGGUCGUUAGCUGCUGUGUGGAGUUCAUUUGCUGGUUUUCCUUUUGAUUUGAAUCACUCCUGAACUGCUGGUCGUUGCUGUUGAAUCUGCUGCUAUGUUGAAUAGGUGUUUUACAUGAAGCUGACCUCUUUUUCUUCUUCUUUUAAACGUUGAAUACCAGGUACACAUUUUGAAUCACCUCGAUGUAACUUGAAUUGAUGUUGAAUUGGAAGUUUUCACCAGACCUGCAUUUGGGUGUUAUCUGUUGUCUCUGAUUCACUAAAUGUUAAAUGAAGUAGAAGUAGUUGAUAUUAGCUCUGUUUUGUAUUUUAUUGAAUAAUAUAAAUGUGAUUGUGUAAUUGGAACUACCUUAGGCUGCUUUGGACUGUGUCAAUUAUUGUUGGUAACAGACUGUUAUAUCAUCCAGGAAACAUAUGUUCAGUAGCUAGUCGAACCACUAAUUGUCAUUAGCUAUAAUUAGUUUAGUGUGUUUGUUCAGUUUAAACUUUUAAAGUUAGAAAAUAACUCUAGUUAGCAUUCUCCUUUUGAAGCUAUGAAAUUGUGCUUGCAUCAAUGGUUGUUGACUGAAUUUGUAAUAACAUGCACGUAAAUGUCGAGCUAGGACAUUUUUGUAUGGGACUAGUUAACAAAUAUCUAAUGAACAGUUAAUUGAUUCAUGCUUUCCUAGUCGAAUUCAAAACUUGUGGGUGUUUAGGUCGUUGAUUAACGUUGGAAUUGAUAAAUCAUAGUUGAUAUUGCUAAUUGUUGGUGGGAAGCAUUACUGAAAUCAAGCACGAUUAGUUUGUCUUUUUUCACGUAAAAAGUUGAACAUAGUUAUUCUGCCCAGCUAAUGUAAAUUGCAUUUUUUUAGUUUGAAACUCUGUGAUUUCAAUUGUCCUUGUCAAUUAGUAGAUAAUAGUUAGCAUCCAAUUAAAUCGUGGGUCUGUUAGCUUCAAGGGAUCGAUCAUUUGAUCUCCCUAGGCAGCCUAUUUUGCUUUGUCUUUUCGGGCUUCCUCAAGGCCCACUCGCUGCAAUUAAUUCACAUACAGAACCAUUUGGUUCAUAAGUUGGGACUGUUUCAGAGAUUUCAAUUCAAGAUUUAGUAUAAUGUAAGUUUGGGCUUUGAGUUAGGUAGAGGGUUCAAAUUAAGGGGCUCCCUUCUUGUUUGAAUCCGGACUUAAGCUCGAGGCCCGAAGCUUAUAAUAUUGAUCGACUAGGAUUUUUUCAUUGUUAGAGAAAAAAUAGAAAAUCAUAGUUUCUUUUAGGCUUUCCCAUUUAAAAUAAAGUGAUACGAGCCUCGUGCAAUAAAAUAUAAUAUUGUGGGGCCCUCAGUAAAGUAAAAAAUACUUAGAAAUUCGGGACGAGCUGUUUAGCGAAUUUCACGGCGAUCCCAAAAAAUAACAAUGCGUUAGUCUUUUUGCGUUAGUCUUUUUAGAUACGAUUUUAAUAAAAUUACAUUCCUAAACUUGGGUGUUCAUUUCAUGCGACCCAAAUCAAAUCCCAAAACUUUGAAUAGAGUUGCUUAGGAUUGCGGGUUCAUUUCAUGUGACGUGAUCCGAAGGCACUCUUCAAACAAUGUUCAACUUUCUUUUGAGAAAUACAUAUUGAAUAAAGGCGGAUAAAAAUAAAAAUUGGCACAUAGGUUCUUCAUAUAAUAAAAUCAGAUAAAUAAGCUACAACAGUUCAGAGGACGUGCUAGAAUCACGGAACUCGGGAAUGCCUAACACCUUCUCCUGGGUUAACAGAAUUCCUUACUCGAAUUUCUGAUUUGCGGACUGUCAAACACGGUCAUAUUUUCCCCAGUUCGAGAUUCAACUGGUGACUUGGGACACCAUUAAUCUCCCAAGUGGCGACUCUAAAAUAUUAAUAACUAAAUUCCAUUCCGAUUAUUCUUUAAUUAAAAAACCUUCUUAAUGCCCUUGCGGGUGUAGUGAAAAAGGAGGUGUGACAGCUUUGGCGACUUUGUUGGG